RNAcentral lists this ribosomal RNA (731 nucleotides) under uncultured bacterium. RNAcentral describes it as "bacterial SSU rRNA". It matches the Rfam family "Bacterial small subunit ribosomal RNA", at positions 51 to 780 of the family's 1533-position model. The record is from RNAcentral.
ACACAUGCAGUCGAGCGGAUGAAGGAGCUUGCUCCUGGAUUCAGCGGCGGACGGGUGAGUAAUGCCUAGGAAUCUGCCUGGUAGUGGGGGACAACGUUUCGAAAGGAACGCUAAUACCGCAUACGUCCUACGGGAGAAAGCAGGGGACCUUCGGGCCUUGCGCUAUCAGAUGAGCCUAGGUCGGAUUAGCUAGUUGGUGAGGUAAUGGCUCACCAAGGCGACGAUCCGUAACUGGUCUGAGAGGAUGAUCAGUCACACUGGAACUGAGACACGGUCCAGACUCCUACGGGAGGCAGCAGUGGGGAAUAUUGGACAAUGGGCGAAAGCCUGAUCCAGCCAUGCCGCGUGUGUGAAGAAGGUCUUCGGAUUGUAAAGCACUUUAAGUUGGGAGGAAGGGUUGUAGAUUAAUACUCUGCAAUUUUGACGUUACCGACAGGAUAAGCACCGGCUAACUCUGUGCCAGCAGCCGCGGUAAUACAGAGGGUGCAAGCGUUAAUCGGAAUUACUGGGCGUAAAGCGCGCGUAGGUGGUUUGUUAAGUUGGAUGUGAAAUCCCCGGGCUCAACCUGGGAACUGCAUCCAAAACUGGCAAGCUAGAGUAUGGUAGAGGGUGGUGGAAUUUCCUGUGUAGCGGUGAAAUGCGUAGAUAUAGGAAGGAACACCAGUGGCGAAAGCGACCACCUGGACUGAUACUGACACUGAGUGCGAAAGCGUGGGGAGCAAACAGGAUUA